Molecule: small RNA, 163 nt
Filed under: uncultured Collinsella sp.
Lineage: Bacteria; Bacillati; Actinomycetota; Coriobacteriia; Coriobacteriales; Coriobacteriaceae
Description: Collinsella-1 RNA
Rfam family: Collinsella-1 RNA
Source: RNAcentral
UGAUAGAUGCGGUAGAUGUAAAUAAACAGUGGAACGGCUGUAAAAGAGCCUUUCCACUGGGUAAAAUCAAACUGUGCCGCGGAACCCGCUCCUCAGCUAGUCACACUUCGGAGACGCGGGCAACGCAGGUAUUAUCGUCUAAAGGGCCGGCUGCAACCGGCCC